This is a non-coding RNA of Caligus rogercresseyi, 72 nucleotides long. The record is from the annotation of a GenBank genome assembly. Lineage: Eukaryota; Metazoa; Arthropoda; Copepoda; Siphonostomatoida; Caligidae.
UUCCCAUGCCGGGAAUUGAACCCGGGCCCUGCUGGGUGAAAGCCAGCUAUCCUAGCCGGCUUUCACCCAGUA